This is a long non-coding RNA of Chelonia mydas (Green sea turtle), 1547 nucleotides long. RefSeq lists it as uncharacterized. Lineage: Eukaryota; Metazoa; Chordata; Testudines; Cheloniidae. The record is from RefSeq and is a predicted model, not a curated record. The transcript has 3 exons.
UGAGGUACAUUUAAUUGAUAGGAGAGCAAAAAAUAUUUACAGCUGUCAAAUUCAGCACCCGGGUGCACUAAGAAUUUAACAGUGGCCAAGCAGGGAGAUCCCUCCUCGUGGCAGCCAGAAGAUAACAUGCAAAUGCCAAUACCUGUUGUCAACUAUCCAAUUAAACACAACUCAAUGAAAAAUGCAGCUUCUUCAGCAGUGACAAGCUUAACCUAUUUUAUAAAUUACAUUUUUAUUACAUCAGAACUUCUACCUAAAUUCAAGUAAUUGACAUAGACUCAAAUCUCCCAAUUUGUUGUUUGGAAGCCAGCCAAGAAAGUCUGAAAUCAGAGCUAUACUAAAGAGCUUUCUCCAGGUUUGGGCUGGUAAAGGGGCCUUAUUGGGAUCCAGGAAGUCUACAGCUUCAUCAACUGAGAUCAUACCUUCCAAACUAAUAAGGCCCAAACUUGGGAUGCAAUGCAUGACAAAGACCUACAAUGAGGGGAAUUUCUUUUCCCUCUUGCAGAAUGCUUGAAGUCUUUAAUGCAAUUAGCUUUCUAGACCGGCAGUUUUAUGAUUCUUCAUUGCUGGCAUGGUUGGUUUAGGAUUUGCUAGGGUCAGCAAGUUUGGGUGGAAUACAAAUAAUUUCUGGACUAACAUGCCCUUCAUAAUGAAGCACACUGAGGCUUGAUAGACUAAACUAGGGCUUCUGUGUUUAAAUAUAAAGCUGCCUGUCUUUUUAAGGUUUGAAAAGAAAUAACCCUUCCUCAACUGCCUCCUUCUGGAAUGUCUCAGAAUGCAUUGCUGUAAACCAAGGAGACUGGCCCUUCAGGAGACUGGGGAAGAGAGGGAGAUGCCUCAAGUGCUAGCGCAAUACAGAGCAGCAAUGGGAAUAAACCUGCCACCCCAACAUGCUGUAGCAGGGCAGAAACUCAGGAAGAGGAUGAAGAGGUCUGUGUGGCCCAGACAUUACUAGCAACAGCUCGCUCCCCUUUGCCUCAGGGCUGAGAAGAGCAGAGGUAUCCCUGCCCUCAAAGUAACAGAAGCGGUCAGGAUGUAUGUUCUACCUAAGUGCUAUAGAAUGUGGGCACCAGCAGAAGCAGGCAGCUGCUUUCCUCCCUGAGGCCAGCCUGCAGUAAAGGGAACACCCGAAACGCAGGUCUCACACACCACUUUCAAGAGACAGGAAGAAGACGCAGCUUCCUCGUCCUCUAGCCAACUGUCCUACCUUAACCUGAGAGACAAGUUUGUAAAAGGCUCAUUGUUCAGUGAACUCUGGAAAUUGAGAGGGGAACAAGCUACUACUUUGUUUUCUGUUUACACCCUGACAUUUCUAAACAAGAGAAAAAUGCAGCCCACUUGUGGAAUAGACAAUAUUCUCCUACUUGGCAAGAAAUAACUCAGACUGAACUACAGGCCUUCCCUAUCUCCCUGGGAUACAUGAUAGGGAAUAUCUGUAUAUGUUUGUUCAGUACCUCUGCCAUCCAUUGCAAUUCUUGCAGUUCAUCAUGAAGACAUGGUAAGAACGUGAGUCAAAUUUCACUCAGAGUGCCCUGAAUGUUAUACAC